This 65-nucleotide transfer RNA is filed under the name Sarcophaga pterygota. Its description in RNAcentral is "tRNA-Gly". Lineage: Eukaryota; Metazoa; Arthropoda; Insecta; Diptera; Sarcophagidae. The record is from RNAcentral.
AUCUAUAUAGUAUAAAAAGUACAUUUGACUUCCAAUCAUAUAGUCUAUUAUUGAUAGUAUAGAUA